Molecule: long non-coding RNA, 487 nt
Organism: Danio aesculapii
Lineage: Eukaryota; Metazoa; Chordata; Actinopteri; Cypriniformes; Danionidae
Exons: 4
Source: RefSeq, a predicted model, not a curated record
GCCCAUAUGUGAACUGAGCGACAUCACGCGAGAGCUCUAGAGAUGCAGCGCGAGUUUUCUCCAUGCGGUAUGAACGUCUGUUGGGAGACUGAGAAAGGCCAAUAAAGUCCGUUAACUCGUUAAAUAUUGUGCAAUACAUGCAUGCAGUGACUUAAAAAGUCUUUUUCAUGGUGAUUAAUGUUCGGAUGGCUGUGGAUUUUGUUGUUUUGAUCGUGAUUUCCAACAUCGUGAAGGAAAGCUAAGCUAAAGCAGGGGAGAAGAGAGUUUUAAGGGUCCAGAGUGUGACGGAAAGAAAACAUAAGGAAAAAGUCAUUUGCAGCUGUUAAUGCUGUGUGUGUAUAUCAUUGAGAGCUGACGAGCUUCAGCCGCCUGCCUUUUUGACCAUCUGCCUAUAUCGACCAUGACUCUGGAUUGCCCGUAUACAUCUGUUUGCUCCUGUGUUGUCUGUUGCUUGCCUGACCAUUCUCUGUUCAAUAAACCUGCCUUU